UACGUAGGGGGCAAGCGUUAUCCGGAUUUACUGGGUGUAAAGGGAGCGUAGACGGCCAUUCAAGCCAGAUGUGAAAGCCCGGGGCUCAACCCCGGGACUGCAUUUGGAACUGUAUGGCUGGAGUGUCGGAGGGGCAGGCGGAAUUCCUAGUGUAGCGGUGAAAUGCGUAGAUAUUAGGAGGAACACCAGUGGCGAAGGCGGCCUGCUGGACGAUGACUGACGUUGAGGCUCGAAAGCGUGGGGAGCAAACAGG
RNAcentral lists this ribosomal RNA (253 nucleotides) under uncultured bacterium. Its description in RNAcentral is "partial 16S ribosomal RNA". It matches the Rfam family "Bacterial small subunit ribosomal RNA", at positions 524 to 776 of the family's 1533-position model. The record is from RNAcentral.